AUUGAACGCUGGCGGCAGGCCUAACACAUGCAGGUCGAACGGUAACAGGAAGAAGCUUGCUUCUUUGCUGACGAGUGGCGGACGGGUGAGUAAUGUCUGGGAAACUGCCUGAUGGAGGGGGAUAACUACUGGAAACGGUAGCUAAUACCGCAUAACGUCGCAAGACCAAAAAGGGGGACCUUCGGGCCUCUUGCCAUCGGAUGUGCCCAGAUGGGAUUAGCUAGUAGGUGGGGUAACGGCUCACCUAGGCGACGAUCCCUAGCUGGUCUGAGAGGAUGACCAGCCACACUGGAACUGAGACACGGUCCAGACUCCUACGGGAGGCAGCAGUGGGGAAUAUUGCACAAAGGGCGCAAGCCUGAUGCAGCCAUGCCGCGUGUAUGAAGAAGGCCUUCGGGUUGUAAAGUACUUUCAGCGGGGAGGAAGGGAGUAAAGUUAAUACCUUUGCUCAUUGACGUUACCCGCAGAAGAAGCACCGGCUAACUCCGUG
RNAcentral lists this ribosomal RNA (490 nucleotides) under uncultured bacterium. RNAcentral describes it as "partial 16S ribosomal RNA". It matches the Rfam family "Bacterial small subunit ribosomal RNA", at positions 30 to 507 of the family's 1533-position model. The record is from RNAcentral.